This 490-nucleotide ribosomal RNA is filed under the name uncultured bacterium. RNAcentral's name for it is "partial 16S ribosomal RNA". It matches the Rfam family "Bacterial small subunit ribosomal RNA", at positions 30 to 507 of the family's 1533-position model. The record is from RNAcentral.
AUUGAACGCUGGCGGCAUGCCUAACACAUGCAAGUCGAACGGUAACACGAAGCAUCUUGCUGCUUCGCGGACGGGUGGCGGGCGGGUGACAAAUGUCUGUGCAGCUGCCUGAUGGAGGGGGAUAACUACUGGAAACGGUUGCUAACACCGCAUAGUGUCGCAAGACCAGAGAGGGGGACCUUCGGGCCUCUUGCCGUCGGAUGUGCCCAGCUGGGCGGAUCUUGUUGGUGGGGUAACGGCUCACCAAGGCGAGGAUCCCGAGCUGGCCUGAGAGGAUGACCGGCCACACGGGAACUGGGCCACGGUCCAGACUCCUACGGGAGGCAGCAGUGGGGAAUAUUGGACAAUGGGCGCAAGCCUGAUCCAGCCAUGCCGCGUGUAUGAAGAAGGCCUUCGGGUUGUAAAGUACUUUCAGCGGGGAGGAAGGGAGUAAAGUUAAUACCUUGGCUGAUUGACGUUACCCGAAGAAGAAGCACCGGCUAACUACGUG